AGGAGGAACAGCCCCAGUGGCGGGGCAGCUCUGGAAACCUGGAUUCAGCCCCCGCAGUAGCUCCGGAGCUCUCCGUCUGCAGGGCCUGGAGGCUCGGGCCGGG
This 103-nucleotide microRNA precursor is filed under the name Canis lupus familiaris (dog). RNAcentral describes it as "mir-8834 microRNA precursor family". It matches the Rfam family "mir-8834 microRNA precursor family". Lineage: Eukaryota; Metazoa; Chordata; Mammalia; Carnivora; Canidae. The record is from Rfam by way of RNAcentral.